CCCAAACCCUUUGAUGAUUGCCCCCCUUGAGGGGGUAAUUCGCCCCACUGGGGAUUGAAACACGGCCCCAGAUUCCUUCGGGGAGGCACCAGUAGGGAAUCUUCCCCAAUUGACCGAAAUUCUGAUGGAGCAACCCCGCGUGAGUGAAGAAGGUUUUCGGAUCGUAAAACUCUGUUGUUGGAGAAGAACGUAUUUGAUAGUAACUGAUCAGGUAGUGACGGUAUCCAACCAGAAAGCCACGGCUAACUACGUGCCAGCAGCCGCGGUAAUACGUAGGUGGCAAGCGUUGUCCGGAUUUAUUGGGCGUAAAGCGAGCGCAGGCGGUUUCUUAAGUCUGAUGUGAAAGCCUUCGGCUCAACCGAAGAAGUGCAUCGGAAACUGGGAAACUUGAGUGCAGAAGAGGACAGUGGAACUCCAUGUGUAGCGGUGAAAUGCGUAGAUAUAUGGAAGAACACCAGUGGCGAAGGCGGCUGUCUGGUCUGUAACUGACGCUGAGGCUCGAAAGCAUGGGUAGCAAACAGGAUUAGAUACCCUGGUAGUCCAUGCCGUAAACGAUGAGUGCUAGGUGUUGGAGGGUUUCCGCCCUUCAGUGCCGCAGCUAACGCAUUAAGCACUCCGCCUGGGGAGUACGACCGCAAGGUUGAAACUCAAAGGAAUUGACGGGGGCCCGCACAAGCGGUGGAGCAUGUGGUUUAAUUCGAAGCAACGCGAAGAACCUUACCAGGUCUUGACAUCCUUUGACCACUCUAGAGAUAGAGCUUUCCCUUCGGGGACAAAGUGACAGGUGGUGCAUGGUUGUCGUCAGCUCGUGUCGUGAGAUGUUGGGUUAAGUCCCGCAACGAGCGCAACCCUUAUUACUAGUUGCCAGCAUUUAGUUGGGCACUCUAGUGAGACUGCCGGUGACAAACCGGAGGAAGGUGGGGACGACGUCAAAUCAUCAUGCCCCUUAUGACCUGGGCUACACACGUGCUACAAUGGAUGGUACAACGAGUCGCGAGACCGCGAGGUUUAGCUAAUCUCUUAAAACCAUUCUCAGUUCGGAUUGUAGGC
RNAcentral lists this ribosomal RNA (1050 nucleotides) under Lactobacillus sp. Its description in RNAcentral is "bacterial SSU rRNA". It matches the Rfam family "Bacterial small subunit ribosomal RNA", at positions 267 to 1305 of the family's 1533-position model. The record is from RNAcentral. Lineage: Bacteria; Bacillati; Bacillota; Bacilli; Lactobacillales; Lactobacillaceae.